AAAAAUGUAAAGGUGAUCUUAGGGUUUUUCACAUAAUUGUAUGAAUUUUCUUGUUGAAAGAUGAGGAGAGAGAGGCUUCAGGAGGAGACGGGUAGACCUUCCAAUGCCAUGUCGGUGGACGGCGCGGAGGAAGGGGUUGCUCGUACCCCCUUUACAUUACUCUGAUUCGACCCUUUAUCUUCUGCGUCGUGUCGUUCAGACGGGACCGCCAGGCUAAAGUUGAGGCUGGCCCGUUUGGAAAUGGAGCUAAAAGAUAAGACAGCUGGAGUUUAAUUUAGAAAUGAGGAAAAUGGAAAUAGAAACCGACAAGGUGGUGAAGAUCCGACACCUGGAGCUAGACGCUGGCUCCAGUGUGACUCCACAACCUGCCCAUUUCGAAGGUCCCCCAACUGGUUUCCCCUCGACGUAAUGGACAUCUAGAUGAUCCCUGCUCUACUGCAACCUUCCCUUGUAUCAGGUUUGAAGGUAAGACCCAAGUGCAGGCAGCGUCGAAGUAACACAAGUUUAUUACAAUCAAACACAGGUAGGCAAUCACAGACAGGUGAGACACUUCAGGGUGUGACACCUUAUGAAAGAUGAUAUUUAUACUACCUCCAGAAGGUGUGCGUCUGAGUUUUUCCCAACGUGUUCUUCCAUUAUAAAAAGUGUAACGUCCCACAGUAAUAGAAGACUUCCUUGCACUUACAUAAGAGAAAAGUGUCUGAACUGAAAGCUAUGAGGGAGUCAUAGGACAUGAUUCGCAGUUUUGGCAGAAAAUAAAAAGUCAGAUGGAGAAACAAUCAUGGGAAUGUACAUUUAUUUUCCCACUAAAUCCUACCUGACUAGCACCAAAAGCUCAGCCUUUAGGGCUUUCUCAGGGACGAAGGGUCCAUAAUGGUCAGCUAUGGUGCUAAGGUCUACUUUACGCAACCUCUCCAACCGAUCAACAGAGGGCGCUUCAGUAAAAUUGGAGAUGGCUGAGGCAGCCAUUUUGUACACAGCAGCCAACUGAACACACGUAAACUUCAGUCACCCAAACUCACAACCUUACCAAUCACAGAGUUCAGAGCAGCGUGGUCCUGUGGAUUUAAUAAUCCCCGAUGAGCCCCCAUUGUGUUACAUACGCCUCUUGGAGGGAACGCAACACCCUGCUACAUCAACUCCCUGUGGAGUGAGAAAGUACGUGAUCGUAGGUGCGGGGGAAGGAUGACAGGCAGAGAAAGUUAGCGUUUACAGGGAAUUUAUUAUUCCUUAACAUGGUAAUGUGAGGAAAAGGGGCUGGAAGGAACCAAAGCAAAGAAAGUUAAACUUAAAAAGUCCCCUCGCCUACCUUCCCACCUAACCUUUAGCAACACCUGGCACGCAAACCAAAAUACAGGGGCUGGUCCGCCCAGGUUUUACCUAGUCUGCAUAGACAGAUUAAAUACUACGGGUUGUUUGACCGCAGGUCUCUUGGCUAAACAGUCCCAAGGUAUGUUCCUCCUCCCCCCUGGGAACAAAUGAAAUAGAACAAUUUCAAUAACCAAAAACACUAAGUCCUAAUGGCAUACCUCUGAAGGAGCGGCUACAAAAUAAUAUCAACAAAACUUUCACUAACCAACAACCAACACAGGACAUGAAAAAUAAGUUAUUUUCUCAUUAAGGAACACUGGAGAAGGAGUUGGUAAUUGAAGGAAGGAACAAGCUGGAGAAGGAGUUGGUAAUUGAAGAGACAGCUGUUUGCCCUGACGAGAGGGAGGAGUCAGAGCUCCAAUCAGCGAUGGGGCCGACCAAUCAGCUGCUUUAGGAUUUCAGGAAGCCAUUUCCUGAAAUACACACACAUACAAACUCACAACAACGCAGAAACUGGGGAACGUAACAGUUAUGAUAAUACCUCUUUGGCAGCCUCAUCUGAUGGUGAUUGACACCCACACAAGGAAGCAAUCAAUCUGAUCCAACACUAGUCUGAUCAGAUUACGUGGGCAUCUCUCCCUUGUACUCUUGUAAUAGGUUGUACAGCUGUUGAUAAUUAGUUUCCUAGCAGCUCUCAAUAAUCAGAUGACGUGCAUUUCCUUGGUAGAGGAUAAAUAGGUUGCUGUUGAAGAUUAUGGGUUUAAUCUCAACUCGAUAAUCUGAUGUUCUAUGAAAUUAUGUCAGAAUAGUUUUCUUGAGUUAUUGUGGAAGAUGAGAAUAUGUUUGAUGUCAACUCUACGUCCAUAAUUUGAUACUAUAUGUGAUUUGAUAGCUACUGUUUGUUCUCAGGAGAGGAUGAAGAGCUUCUGGGACUGGGAAGCCAAAGGCAGCACUGGAUCUGAUUAACCCUCCUCUUCUUUCCAUUCCUCCUAAAGCACCAGUGUUUUCUCAGAGAUGCACAGAUGAAAACCUCCCUCUCUCUCACACACAUGACCUUACUCACACGCACCAUUUCACUCUGCAAUAUGUCUACCACGUGUGAGACUCUGACCCAAUCUCCGCUAUACUCCUGCCAAAUGCUCCAUCUUCUUAUAAGGCAGGAAAUACUUGACUAAAUACGUCAUAUAGAAGUCAUUUUGGUUAUCUAAGAUUUCACAAAAUCACGUGUGUGCAACGGAUCCACUGCGUGUCUUUGCCUGUGUGAAAAAUCUUCGUGCAUAACUCUGUUACUCUUUGCUCUCCCGUUAUUAUAGGAGGCUAAUGGGAUAUUAACAGGGUUAGUAAGUUAUAUAAGUUGUGUCUUUACAAUGAAAGUCUUGGGGCCAUUCCAUCUCCACUGCCAUCUGCUCUUCCUGCCUCCAAAACAAUGUAUGUCCUUUUCCUGUCCUGUUCUGUUUGGCCUCCUAGUGGGACGUAGCGUCCAUUCCCAGGAGACCACCCUCCUGCCUGGCCGCUGUACACCCUCGACCCCAGAUACUGGGUCAGCUCUCUCUCUCUCCUCUCUGUGAGUGUUGUGUUUGUUGAGUAACUUUUACGACAGAAAAUAACCAAGCGGGAUGCAGGAGUACCAUUUCAAUAGGUUUACUGAAUGUCAAGCUCGAGACGUCAUCAGAGUGGUCACUCAAUGUUUACCACAGAGUUCUUAUUCUAUGCCCGUGCAUUCACUAUGCAGAACACUACACCGUCUCUCUCUUCUUCUCUCCAUCAAUCUCUCCCCUCUCUCUCUCUCUACAUGUGGUGUCAACCUGUCUCUCUGAGAGGCUACAGUCAUUUUCAAGAACCAGUGUGCUGACCUCUGACCCCUGCAGGAUAAGGCCCUGACAUGCAAGUGAUGAUGAUCAUCGUUGGAGUAUUGUGACAUUGUGGUAAACCAGAUCAGGAUGAGCUUGUGGAAAUCUCUCACUCCUCACCAGAAAUGAGAGGGACGGCAUCCCAAACCCAGCAUACUGCAUCCGGAUGAGAGGGAUCCUGUGGGGGAGCCUUGAUAUCCAAGUGUUAACUGAGAGGAGUAGCGUGUUGUAACACCGCAUGUGGCUGUGGCUUGGGAUGAGGAGAGAACUAGGUGAGGUUCAGUGGUGUCCGCUGAGCCCCAGCUGACCUGUUUUCCAUACCGCAAGAGAGAAGGGUAGAGUACAGUGCACUCUGAUGAUAGUGAUUACAUCUGAGCAGGACAACUUCCUGUCACACCCUGAUCUGUAUCACCUGUCUUUGUGCUCGUCUCCACCCCCCUCCAGGUGUCGCCCAUCUUCUUCAUUAUCCCCAGUGUAUUUA
Long non-coding RNA from Oncorhynchus kisutch (coho salmon), 3642 nucleotides. RefSeq lists it as uncharacterized. The record is from RefSeq and is a predicted model, not a curated record. The transcript is spliced from 3 exons. Lineage: Eukaryota; Metazoa; Chordata; Actinopteri; Salmoniformes; Salmonidae.